Molecule: ribosomal RNA, 319 nt
Filed under: uncultured eukaryote
Lineage: Eukaryota
Description: partial 18S ribosomal RNA
Rfam family: Eukaryotic small subunit ribosomal RNA
Source: RNAcentral
CCCUUAGAUGUUCUGGGCUGCACGCGUGCUACAAUGGCGUUUCCAGCAAGUCUGCGAACCCGAGAGGGCCAGCGGAUCUUCGAAUUGGCGUCGUGAUCGGGACAGUCGAUUGCAAUUAUUUGACUCAAACGAGGAAUUCCUUGUAAUCGCGAUUCAUCAUAUCGCGCUGAAUACGUCCCUGCCCUUUGUACACACCGCCCGUCGCUCCUACCGAUUGAGCGAUCCGGUAAAUGUUUUUGAUUGGUGCCGGGGCGGCUAGCUGCCGGUCGCUACGAAAUUUUGUGAACCUUAUCGCUUAGAGGAAGGAAAAGUCGUAACA